UUUGGAGGCAGGACCAUAUGUGCAGCAACUGGAAAACAUAGAGGGUCUGAAUUAAAAGCAUUCUGUAGAACCCUCAUAUACAAUAAGUUUUAUGCAGUGAUGAACCCAUGGAUACAUUCCAGCCAACAGAAAUGGGUGGUCCAGCCCUCAAUGAAAUUCUGCAGGACAGAUGCCCCACCUCCACAGGCCAGAUCCAUGUUAUCAUUACUACUACCACCAUCAUUACCUCAUUCUUUGCAAUACUAGGGAUAAAGAGAUUAAGACAGAAGAAAGGAAUCUCUUGGAAAUACACAACUGUGAUGAUUACGUAUGUCAGUUGGGUGCUGCUGUGAUGAAUUUCAGGGAAGAUGAAAAGGAUUUCCCUGGCAGCAAAAAGUCUCUAACACAAAGAAGAGAAAAUGAAGCAAAGCAGUUGUAUUUAUCUUUACAUCAUAACAGACAACCUUACUCCUGUUUUUGUGAUGUUUUCCCUGCUCUCAUCUUAGAAGGUUUUCCAUUUGAUAUGAAGUAUUAAUAAGAAAAGAAAUAAAAUCAGAAAUCUGGAUACAUUUGUCUUUCACAAUUUGUUAUAGAAGUGCCAGUUUGAUGUAUUUAAUGUGUCCUGAUUUUACUCUUUGCAGAUGGCUAAGAUACAGGAAGGGCUUAUCUAAAUAUUAGGAACAUAAUUGUGAUUUGAUAUAUCACCUCUCCUCUCCCUUCUACCAUAUAGCUCCAUUGUUGAGAUCAGCAAAGAGUCUCCAGCACCUUGAGGUAGGCCUGAUAAAUAAUCUGACACUGGAACCAAUGGCAGUUUUGCACCAGCUUUAUUAGGUGCGGGUUUCAGUUUCUCAGGUGUGGGCUGUAUGAGCCAGAACAUAUUAUACCUAGUAGGUGUCUAAGUGACAUAUCCAACACUAUCCACCUUGCUUUAGUCCUUGAAAACCUACCGAACAGAUCAGUAUUUGUAAUGCCUUAAGUUAUGGACUAAGCCUAAAUCGCAAAAAGCGGCAGGGAAGAAGAGGACUCAUUCACCUUUUACAGUAAUGUAUUUUUCAGGGAUUUGAACAGAGUGGAAUAGCAUUACUAACAAAUAGAAGAUCUGGCCCAAUGUUUUUAAACUUGGUCUCUAACUUGGUCUUUCACAACCUGAGUCUGUAAGCUUUCAUGCUAGAAAAAGUCUAUUUUCCCAGGCUGUUUAAGAAGGAUUGGUUAGGGACUGGAGUGGUUAAAUUCACAGGCACUUCUUUUGCAUGGUUUAAUGAAUUUAAUAGGUGCCCAGAAAAUAGGAUUUGGACUUAUAUAUACAUAUAGGCACCUCUCUUAUAAUAGUUUCAUAGUUGCUAGGGGCUGCUGGAAGGGACCUUACAGA
Molecule: long non-coding RNA, 1348 nt
Organism: Gavialis gangeticus (Gharial)
Lineage: Eukaryota; Metazoa; Chordata; Crocodylia; Gavialidae
Exons: 3
Source: RefSeq, a predicted model, not a curated record